ACUUAUAUAGUUUAUGUAAAAUAAAGCCUUGUGGUGGCAGAGAAGUUUUGACUUUAAGUA
Molecule: transfer RNA, 60 nt
Filed under: Crangonyx forbesi
Lineage: Eukaryota; Metazoa; Arthropoda; Malacostraca; Amphipoda; Crangonyctidae
Description: tRNA-His
Source: RNAcentral